GCCGAGGUAGCUCAGUCGGUAGAGCAAGGGACUGAAAAUCCCUGUGUCCCCAGUUCGAUUCUGGGCCUCGGCACCA
RNAcentral lists this transfer RNA (76 nucleotides) under Chloroflexota bacterium. Its description in RNAcentral is "Chloroflexi bacterium (hydrothermal vent metagenome) tRNA-Phe". It matches the Rfam family "tRNA". Rfam says of the family: Transfer RNA (tRNA) molecules are approximately 80 nucleotides in length. Their secondary structure includes four short double-helical elements and three loops (D, anti-codon, and T loops). Lineage: Bacteria; Bacillati; Chloroflexota. The record is from RNAcentral.